This 724-nucleotide long non-coding RNA is filed under the name Sparus aurata (gilthead seabream). RNAcentral's name for it is "lncRNA (ENSSAUG00010014169.1)". Lineage: Eukaryota; Metazoa; Chordata; Actinopteri; Spariformes; Sparidae. The record is from RNAcentral.
UAACAUCACAAUACUUAUUUAUACUUAUAUUCAUUAUAGUUAUUAAUGUAUUAAAGGAUAAGUUCACUCAAAAAUGAAUUUUUGAGUGGCUGGCGUGAACACGGAUUAUUUUAUUCUGAAAAGUAACCGGAUGUUGUGAUGUUGUUUCGGUGAGUCACUUCCGGUCUGAGCCGCUUCAGCAUCCAGCAGAUAGAAUCCUGAUACCAACUGCCGGAAACCGCCGAGGGAGUCCGAGUCCUCGCGAGCGGCGGGAAGAAGAGUAUCAGUGCAUCGUUUUCAUCACAACAUCUAACAACAAGUCGCUACGUCACGUCUCAUUCACCUCAGCAGGAGGACAGCCAGACCAACUCUGAUGUCACAUAAAGAUCUCUGGAUCAGACUGAACGUGACUGAGAAUGGAUGUGGAAACAAGCGAGUCGACACAAAGUCCUGGAGAAAGUGAUCUAGAACCAGAACAUCCAGAACACAAGAUACCCAGGGAGAUCAACGGGUCAGGUUUGGAUUCAGAUAACAGUGGCCUUGUAAGGCAGGAAUAUUGCACCUUUAUUCUGCCUCACUUCAACCCACAAAGACACGUGACAGGACCAAACAACAGUAAUGUGGUAGCAGCUCGUGUCUUCAGCAUCUUAUAUGAGGACAAAAAUACAGAAUUUACUAAACAAAACCUGGGAGGGAGUCGUGCUGUGUGGGGUCGAGUAGAAGUCUGAACAAAUGAUUCUUGAGU